This 604-nucleotide ribosomal RNA is filed under the name uncultured bacterium. Its description in RNAcentral is "bacterial SSU rRNA". It matches the Rfam family "Bacterial small subunit ribosomal RNA", at positions 374 to 973 of the family's 1533-position model. The record is from RNAcentral.
GGCGAAGCUGAUCCAUCAUACCGCGUGUGUGAAGAAGGCCUGAGGGUUGUAAAGCACUUUCAAUAGGAAGGAAUACCUAUCGGUUAAUACCCGGUAGACUGACAUUACCUAUACAAGAAGCACCGGCUAACUCCGUGCCAGCAGCCGCGGUAAUACGGAGGGUGCAAGCGUUAAUCGGAAUUACUGGGCGUAAAGCGUGCGUAGGCGGUUAUUUAAGUCAGAUGUGAAAGCCCUGGGCUUAACCUGGGAACUGCAUUUGAUACUGGAUGACUAGAGUUGAGUAGAGGAGAGUGGAAUUUCAGGUGUAGCGGUGAAAUGCGUAGAGAUCUGAAGGAACACCAGUGGCGAAGGCGGCUCUCUGGACUCAAACUGACGCUGAGGUACGAAAGCGUGGGUAGCAAACAGGAUUAGAUACCCUGGUAGUCCACGCCGUAAACGAUGUCAACUAACCGUUGGGUUCUUUAAGAACUUAGUGGUGGAGCUAACGUAUUAAGUUGACCGCCUGGGGAGUACGGNCGCAAGGCUAAAACCCAAAUGAAUUGACGGGGGCCCGCACAAGCGGUGGAGCAUGUGGUUUAAUUCGAUGCAACGCGAAGAACCCUUA